UGGGGGAUUUUGCACAAUGGGCGCAAGCCUGAUGCAGCGACGCCGCGUGAGGGAUGAAGGCCUUCGGGUUGUAAACCUCUUUCGCUGGGUUGAAAGGCCAUGCUUUGGGUGUGGUUGAUUUGAACUGUUAAAGAAGUACCGGCUAACUACGUGCCAGCAGCCGCGGUAAUACGUAGGGUACUAGCGUUGUCCGGAUUUAUUGGGCGUAAAGGGCUUGUAGGUGGUUUGUUGCUUCUGUCGUGAAAUCCUGUGGCUUAACCAUGGGCUUGCGGGGGGAACGAGCAAGCUUGAGUGCGGUAGGGGAGACUGGAAUUCCUGGUGUAGCGGUGGAAUGCGCAGAUAUCAGGAGGAACACCGGUGGCGAAGGCGGGUCUCUGGGCCGUUACUGACACUGAGGAGCGAAAGCGUGGGGAGCGAACAGG
Molecule: ribosomal RNA, 422 nt
Filed under: Fusobacteriota bacterium
Lineage: Bacteria; Fusobacteriati; Fusobacteriota
Description: Fusobacteria bacterium partial 16S ribosomal RNA
Rfam family: Bacterial small subunit ribosomal RNA
Source: RNAcentral